AAGGAUUUAAGUUAAAGGAAACUUGCAACCUUCAAAGUUGCCAAUAGAGAAAAUCUAAGCCUUA
Molecule: transfer RNA, 64 nt
Filed under: Subcoccinella vigintiquattuorpunctata (24-pointed ladybird beetle)
Lineage: Eukaryota; Metazoa; Arthropoda; Insecta; Coleoptera; Coccinellidae
Description: Subcoccinella vigintiquatuorpunctata (24-pointed ladybird beetle) tRNA-Trp
Source: RNAcentral